UAAAUGGGACAAAUCUAAUCUAAUGGGGAAAAUGUUAGUUUUUCCUGUCCUCCACCACUUGCACUUCUCCUCCAUCUGCCACACAUACUUCUGAUGGCAGAGAAAUGUGUUUUAAGUUUCAGUUAUUGAAAGUCUUUAAAAGUAGACUGAAAUGUCAUCUUCCUUUUUACGGUUAUUAAGUAGGUAUCAAUUACCAUGUUUACUGCAACACCCAAAGUUUACUGCACUGUUGUUCCUGGAAAUGCAGCCAUAGCACAGAGACAGUUUCUAUCUUGGGAGCAAAGCAGGUUUUCCCUCAGAAGUGGCAUGUGAGCUCUGCCUCUUCCAUCCUGCCUGUGCACCUUCUGUCCUAUGUGACCAAAAUCCUGCUCUGCACCCCUGGGUGAGUAAGUGGACAAGAUGGUGCAUGGCUUUUCCAGAUCUCAACAAGAAAACUCCAAGAACAAGUGGCAUAAUAAAACAGACAUUGUAAUACA
Molecule: long non-coding RNA, 476 nt
Filed under: Cyanistes caeruleus (blue tit)
Lineage: Eukaryota; Metazoa; Chordata; Aves; Passeriformes; Paridae
Description: lncRNA (ENSCCEG00000012898.1)
Source: RNAcentral